CCCGGACUCAUUCCGAACCCGGCAGUUAAGUCCACCUGCGUCGAAUAUUGUACUGAGGUACGAGAGUCCUCGGGAACUAUUCAACGCUGCCAAUA
RNAcentral lists this ribosomal RNA (95 nucleotides) under Methanocalculus sp. The record is from RNAcentral. Lineage: Archaea; Methanobacteriati; Methanobacteriota; Methanomicrobia; Methanomicrobiales; Methanocalculaceae.